UCUGCGGAGUCCCCGCCCGCCCUGCAGAUUAGCAGGCGCGUCGCGUCGGGGCUUCCCGGCCAGCUCUGCUCUGGGGAAUUAGAACGAACUCUAGCGGCCGUUUGCAACUCGGCUGUGGGCGCGAGGGCAUCAACAGGUGGCCGUGUGCAGCGGAGAGGCCAGUGGCGAGGACCCGGACUGGGCCCUUAAAACAAGAUUCUAUCUAUCCUGGGAAGGAGUCUCUUGCGUGAUGCUCGCGGACCUGAAAGGCGACUGGAGGGGCUCUUACAGGAUUCUGUUAACUUCUUGAUGACUGUAAUCCAGCUUGGGCCACAUCUUUCUCAACCUCAUUUGGUACCGGCUAAGAACCUAAUUUACUUGCCAUCAACAUCAGAAUUUACCAAUGCCUGAUCUCCUCCCCACCUCUGCCUCACCCAGGGUGAACCAAAAUUGUAAAAAGAAAAGAAAAAAAUAUGGGACCCUCCCCUCAUUCCCCCGCCUUGUCCCGUCCCGCCCGGCCACACCAACUUCAGCAUUUUUACAUGGCUUACCUUAUUAUGCCCCUUCCAGGCCAUUCCACUCCCUGCCCCCUCCCCCUUUAAAAUAAGUCUAGUUCUGUCUGUUUCCAUGGAAAUUACCCAAACCUUAACGAAGCUAUUCCUAUUUUGAGGCUGCACCUCCUCUGGAUGAUCAAUCACUUAGGAGGGUUUUCUAUAAGCCAAGUUUCCCUUGCUGCCACCUCAUUGCCACCUGCUUCUGGCUGGGUGACAGAUUGUAUGUAGGGUGGAAUGGGCCAGGCCAGAGGGAAACCAGGUAACCCUUUAAACGGUCUGCUGGAUUCUCAUAUCUUCAGAGCACUUGGAUCUCAUGGAUACUAGCAAGGAUGAGGGGCUUCUGAUGUGUUGCAGUGUUUUUAAAUUGUUCAGAGUUUAGCAUGGACUGAACUUGCACCAUAUAAAGAGAAAACAAUGAGGAAUAAGACAAAGGUGGUUUUUGCUUUAUGUGGUAUGAUCCCCGUUUGCUUUAAGUGUACCCAUGGAGUAGACAGACCGUUAUCUGACAGUAUUUAGGAGCUUCAGAAUCAAUAAUGUUGGACAAGUAAAUGUUCAGCCAGGAAGUAGCAUAUGCCACUUUCACUUACAACUGAUUGGUCAGAACUAAUCACAAAGUUAACUGUAAAGAUCCAUGGAAGCAUUGUGUGCCUGGAAAUGGAGAGAAUGGGAAAGAUUUGCACUAAUAUGAUAGCACUAAUGACUCUCAUAAAUAAUAAUAGCAGUUCACAAUUAUUGAUCGUUUACCAUGUGCUGAGCCUUUUAUAUGUAUCAUUUCAUUGAAUCAUCACAAAAAUCUGUUUUAUCUUUAUUUUACAGAAAUAGAAACUGAGACUUAAAGAGCUUAAGUACUGUACCUUGCUUGACAUCACACAGAUACUAAGUAAUGGAGUUGGAAUUUAAGCUUAAUUUUACCUGCUUCCCAGAGAAUAGACUUUUAAAACACUGUCCUCAACUACCUUUGGACUUAAUUGGUCCCCUGUUGUUGGGCAUUGGGUAGUUUCAAUUUUAUUCCAAUGAACAACCUUGUGUCAGAUCUUUUGAAUCAUCUGCGAUUACUUCCUUAGGAUGAAUUCCUAGGUACAUAUUUGCUUAUUGAAAUAUACACAUAUUUCAAGAAUAAAAACCUUUUGCAAAAAGUGAAAGCUUUAGGAGGUGUGGUAGUCUUCUAAGAUGGCUUUUUUCAAUCCUUUCCUUCCCUUUUUGAAAAAUAUGUCACCAUUAAGAGGUGGAGUUUACUUCCCCUCCCUUGGAAUCUGGACUGGUCCUGUAAUUGCUUUGGAUGCAAUGAAAGUGAUAUUCUGAGACAUCUAAAUCCAAGUCUUAAGAGACUGGCAGUUUCUGUUUCCUUCCUUUUAGGGUCCUGCUGCCAUGCUGUGAGAAGCCCGAGUUUCAUGGAGAGGCCACAUGGAGUGAAAACAAAGGUGAUAGGGACAACAGCUCCACCUGAGAUCCUGGUUAAUACACAGACUUUAGCCACCUUGGAUGCUCCAGCCUAAUCGAUCUCCCACUUGACUCUAGUUUCACCUGACAUUAUGUAGAGGAAAACCAGCCAGCUCCACCUAGUCAACCCACAGAAUCAUGAGAUGAUCAUAAGACUGCAGUCGUUUAACAUUAUUCACUUUUGGGGUGGUUUAUUACACAGUGAUAGAUAAAUAAAACGGGAGUUAUUA
Molecule: long non-coding RNA, 2203 nt
Organism: Symphalangus syndactylus (siamang)
Lineage: Eukaryota; Metazoa; Chordata; Mammalia; Primates; Hylobatidae
Source: RefSeq, a predicted model, not a curated record